CCUACGGGAGGCAGCAGUGAGGAAUAUUGGUCAAUGGGCGUAAGCCUGAACCAGCCAAGUCGCGUGAGGGAUGAAGGUUCUAUGGAUCGUAAACCUCUUUUAUAAGGGAAUAAAGUGCGGGACGUGUCCCGUUUUGUAUGUACCUUAUGAAUAAGGAUCGGCUAACUCCGUGCCAGCAGCCGCGGUAAUACGGAGGAUCCGAGCGUUAUCCGGAUUUAUUGGGUUUAAAGGGUGCGUAGGCGGCCUUUUAAGUCAGCGGUGAAAGUCUGUGGCUCAACCAUAGAAUUGCCGUUGAAACUGGGAGGCUUGAGUAUGUUUGAGGCAGGCGGAAUGCGUGGUGUAGCGGUGAAAUGCUUAGAUAUCACGCAGAACCCCGAUUGCGAAGGCAGCCUACCAAGCCAUGACUGACGCUGAUGCACGAAAGCGUGGGGAUCAAACAGGAUUAGAUACCCUUGUAGUC
Molecule: ribosomal RNA, 460 nt
Filed under: uncultured bacterium
Lineage: Bacteria
Description: partial 16S ribosomal RNA
Rfam family: Bacterial small subunit ribosomal RNA
Source: RNAcentral